RNAcentral lists this long non-coding RNA (778 nucleotides) under Danio rerio (zebrafish). Its description in RNAcentral is "lncRNA (ENSDARG00000117696.1)". The record is from RNAcentral. Lineage: Eukaryota; Metazoa; Chordata; Actinopteri; Cypriniformes; Danionidae.
GCCUGCAUUUACUAUAUGGUAAUGGUUAGAAUGUUUAGGGUUAGGUGUCUUUAUACAUAUAAGGACACCUUAAAAUAAAGCUUGACCAUACUCUCUAGUACUUCUUUAUUAGUAAUGCUUAAAUUUCACCUUUGUUAUUGUAUGUUUUUAUUUCAGCUGGAAACUGAAAGCCAUGGCUGUAAUAAAUGCAGUGCAGAUCUUCAUGCUGCUGUUGGGCUUCACUGCAGUCUGCCAAACUGAUGCUGAUGGCUGCAAUGUGAGAUGUAAUGAUGUGACUGGAGCUGUGAGGAAAGAAGUGAUGUUCAACUGCAGCUUCUCUGAACAGUGCACUGAUUGCUGUGUUAUAUGGUUUAAGUUUCAGUAUCCUGAGAACUAUAAUUACUCUGACAUCUGUAGAGAAGGGUCUCCUGAUGACCGCUGUAAGAAGAAGAAAACCUUCACAUGCAGAUACACUCCAAAUACAGCAAUGAAGGAAACAUUCAGAUUCUUUGUGCAAACUAAUAGUUCAACAAAAACUGCAGAAUUCACUGUGGAUAUAUCAGAGCAUGAACCACACAUAAAUAAUCCUGGACAAUCUCCUGGACAUGAGAAAACUUCUGUUUCUGCCAUCUCUGCUGGUGUGGGCUGCUUCAUCAUCUUCAUCAUCAUCAUCAUAUUGACCAUCAUUAUCAUCUAUAAAAAGCAGACAGGUGGAUGUCAGAAAAUGAUGUCUCUGUUUACCAGACAGAAGGAUCAUGACAGUGAUUCAGAAAAAGUGCAGAAUCAUUUUGAAGAUUAA